Molecule: RNA transcript, 1292 nt
Organism: Canis lupus familiaris (dog)
Lineage: Eukaryota; Metazoa; Chordata; Mammalia; Carnivora; Canidae
Gene: HDIP1
Gene name: chromosome 15 C16orf87 homolog
Exons: 3
Source: RefSeq, a predicted model, not a curated record
CUGAGCCUCGGUCCCGGCCGCGGGGAGCCGGCGGGUAGAGGCUGGGCCGCGGAGGCCGGAGGGGAGGAGCCCGGGCCGCCGCCGCCGCCGCCGCCGCCCUGCAGGAGGGGAGCAUGUCUGCGAGUCGAGCCAAGAAAGUGAAGAUGGCCACCAAGUCGUGCCCCGAGUGCGACCAGCAGGUUCCUGUUGCAUGUAAAUCUUGUCCCUGUGGUUACGUAUUUAUUAAUAGGAAACUUCUAAUAGUAAAACACUCAGAGAAAUCAUCACCUUUUACAGAAGUGAACAGUGCCCCGUCUUUGAAAGAUUUGCGAAUACUAUUUUUAUAUGAAUUUAAACUAGGACAUAGUGCAGCCACAGCAAGUAGAAACAUCAAUUCUGUCUUUGGAAAAGGCUCUGUUAGUGAGAGGACUAUCCGGUGGUGGUUUGAAAAAUUUCGUUCUGGAGAUCUGAGUCUGAAAAAUGAGCCUCGAGGGAGACCCAAAUCUGUUUUAAAUGAAGAUCAACUGAGAGCCAUGGUGGAAGCUAACCCCAAAACAGCAAUUCGAGGCCUUGCGGCAGACUUAGGAGUUUCUGCUACAACAAUUUCUCGACACCUGGCUGCAAUAGGAAAGGUGAAAAAGUUGGACAAGUGGGUAGGUAACACCAACUGACAGAUGAUCAUAAACGGAGAUGAUUACAGGUGUGUUCUUACCUUGGGAUUUGAAAGAGCAGAGACCUAUUUUGGAGAAAUCUUAAGCUUUGACAAAAAAAAAUGAUAGUGGUCUGGACAAUGGUUGGAUGUUGAUGUAGUUUCCAAACGUGUUAAAACCAUCACUGUAAUCAAAAAAAGGUUCUGGUAACUCUAUGGUGGUCCGCCAAGAGAGUAUUUCAUUGCUUUUGACUCAGACAAAACUAAUAGUAGCAUCUUUUUGUCAAGAAGUUGAAACUAUUUGUCAAAAAUGGGUCUAAAAGCGCUGCAUUGGUGAGCAGGUAUGGAGGGACCUGUACUUUUCCAUCAUUUGACCACUGAAACCCCAGACCACCAAAGGGAGUAACUGCAUUGGCCCAAGGACUUUUGCCAAAUCCAUCACACUCACCUGACCUUUUUUCAACAUUACCACCUCUUUUACCAUUUGGAACUCCAAGAAACAGAACAUUCUCCAAUAGACAACAGUAAUUGAAGGAUUUGAAUAAAUUUUAACAAUGCUGAAUUUUAUAAAUAUGUAAUAUUUGGAGAAAUUUAUCAUUGGGGGAAAGUAGUGAAUGCUAACUGCGUAUUUUGCUCAAAUAAAAACUUCUUUUUCUGAAAAAUA